This 253-nucleotide ribosomal RNA is filed under the name uncultured bacterium. RNAcentral describes it as "partial 16S ribosomal RNA". It matches the Rfam family "Bacterial small subunit ribosomal RNA", at positions 524 to 776 of the family's 1533-position model. The record is from RNAcentral.
UACGUAGGGCGCAAGCGUUGUCCGGAAUUAUUGGGCGUAAAGAGCUCGUAGGUGGCUUGUUGCGUCUGCCGUGAAAGCCCGUGGCUUAACUGCGGGUCUGCGGUGGAUACGGGCAGGCUAGAGGCUGGUAGGGGCAAGCGGAAUUCCUGGUGUAGCGGUGAAAUGCGCAGAUAUCAGGAGGAACACCGGUGGCGAAGGCGGCUUGCUGGGCCAGUUCUGACGCUGAGGAGCGAAAGCGUGGGGAGCGAAUGGG